AGAGCAUGGCUUUUGGAGUGAUUCUGAGCUACGUUUGAAAUCCUGACUCCAGCAUUUACUGGCUGCGUGACUUUGAAACCUCUGGAGUGUUCUAACUGGCAAAAACAAGGGUACUUUGCGGUUUUGAGCCUGGGAAACCAAAAAAAACUUUGGCAAUUGUGUGUCUUCUCACUUCACGCUCUGGAAAACAAGAAGAUUGCUCAGCUUGACUCCAAGAGAUGGGGUUUCACCAUGUUGCCCAGGCUGGUCUUGAACUCCUGGACUCAAGUGGUCCAACUGCCUCGGCCUCCCAAAGUGCUGAGAUUACAGGCAUGGGCCACUGUACCCAGGCUUGAAUACACUUUGGUGAAUUCUGUUUAUAAAAAAUAUAUGCUCAUUGUAGAAAUUCUGGAAAACACAGAAAAGCUUAAAGAAGAAAAUGAAGUGCACCAUAAUCAUACUACCC
This 445-nucleotide non-coding RNA is filed under the name Pongo abelii (Sumatran orangutan). Lineage: Eukaryota; Metazoa; Chordata; Mammalia; Primates; Hominidae. The record is from RNAcentral.